UACGUAGGCAGCAAGCGUUGUUCGGAGUUACUGGGCGUAAAGGGUGUGUAGGCGGUUAUUUAAGUUUGGUGUGAAAUCUCCCGGCUCAACCGGGAGGGUGCGCCGAAUACUGAAUGACUUGGAGUGCGGGAGAGGGAUGCGGAAUUCCAGGUGUAGCGGUGAAAUGCGUAGAUAUCUGGAGGAACACCGGUGGCGAAGGCGGCAUCCUGGACCAACACUGACGCUGAGUGAGCGAAAGCCAGGGGAGCAAACGGG
This 255-nucleotide ribosomal RNA is filed under the name uncultured bacterium. Its description in RNAcentral is "partial 16S ribosomal RNA". It matches the Rfam family "Bacterial small subunit ribosomal RNA", at positions 524 to 776 of the family's 1533-position model. The record is from RNAcentral.